Molecule: long non-coding RNA, 8207 nt
Organism: Syngnathus typhle (broad-nosed pipefish)
Lineage: Eukaryota; Metazoa; Chordata; Actinopteri; Syngnathiformes; Syngnathidae
Exons: 3
Source: RefSeq, a predicted model, not a curated record
AAUGUUCUGUUUACCAAAAUUGCCGAUCAGUGACUCAAUUGUCUAAUCUGAGACUGUGUUAUGGCUUCUUUCUUCUUUCCUGCUGGAAAGAAAGAGAGGAAUAAACUCCUGCAAGGAGCUGUAGCUCAGAUUUUUUUUCUUUUUGCAUACUCCCAAAAGGGAGGCAAAAUGGAUGUAAUAUUUGUUUUCUAUUAAAUAUCAUCUCCUCUCUGCGCUGCUGGAGCUGCUGAAGUCGUUGUGUGGUCCUUCUGCUUAGGCACAAUAUGUGAGUGCUUUACUGUGGCGUUUGCGGGUCCUUUGAUUAAAGUCCAACUCGUGUUUUAAUAGCUGCACCAGAAAAUCAACACCUCCUGCUGCGGUACUUGCAGGAACUUCAUCUCGUGAGCUUGUUUUGCAAGAUGAACUCUCUAACCUGAGGAAGUACUAGAGCAGCUGUUCUCUCUUUGAAACGUGACUCAUGUCAAAGAGAAAUGUUAUUGAGGUGAGUCUGACAGGUGAGAGAUCGACAUCUGAUGCUCAUGGGCAAAUGGCAGGACCAAAUCCGAUGCACUUAUAGUGUUGAUGAAAUUGAUUCCUACAUUAUUCAGGUUCAACGGGGAAUGCGACUGUUUAAGGUGUCUGUCACAGGUAAACCGAAAUCUAACCCAGAUGACUUUGGGAAUCAAGCAGGACAUACUCCAAACAGGUCUACGGUUUAUCAUAUUUAGAUAUGAUCAGAUCAGAUCGGCAUGUCCUACCUCUGCUCCUGCGUGGGGUUGAGGGACCAGACAAAACUAUCCCAGCGAUGAGGACCACCAGGAAGAGGACCAGAAAGCCCGGCGAGCGCUGCUGCACCCUCGUCAUGACUGCGGCGCUUGGUGGUGGUGAAUCUUAGGAUGGAUGGACCAGCGCUGGUGUCUCGAGGGUUAGAUGAAGCUCUCAGGUCACGUGAGGUAGCAGCGACAGGUAAAGAGUUUCUUGCUUGGAUGGUCUCUGGAAGAGGCUGGACAAUUUCUCUGAGCUGAGCAGGAUUUGUGCAGCACACUUGUGCAGGUUCAGAUGCUGCUGCACCUUCUAUACCUCUCUGGUGGAGGGGAGGGGUCAGAGGGAGACAGACACACUGGCUUUCUCUCCAAAAGGAGUUGUCACCAAACUUCCCGCCCUUUUCUCUCUGCUGUCCCCCACCACCACCCACCCCCUCCCUGCUUCGUCUGGUUUGUCCACACCAAUUCUGCUUUCCAUCUGCACCAGAGGUUCUCUGACACAAGCCAUUGUUUUCGUUCUCCUUGCCUUGUGCUUCUCUCUGGAAGUGUUUUUAUGCACACUAAAAGUCACAUUCAGAACACCCAAAUUGCAAACAUCAGUGUUAAUGCCCAAUAAGGUUUGUCUCGUGGAUGUACGCGCAAAAUGGGACAGCUGAAGUUUAACCCACUAUGGUAACACGUAAAGCAGUUUUUCCCAAACACAGGGGGCUUAAUUGUGUUGCAUUUGACUUUUGCAUGCAUGACAACAGAGCCUCGAAACAAAAAGAAUUUUAAAAAAAGUCACACAAAAAAGGACACUUUUAUCAAAUUCUUCUCAAUACUCUUUUGAAAACAUAGUCUCUUGUUACAAGUGACUUGUUACUAACAUUACAAGUGACUGUAACAAGUGACAAGGUUGUUACAAGGCCAGCUGCAUUUUAAGUGCAAAUCGGCAUCUUGGGGAUGGAGAACCACUCCGCAGUUGAACAUGCAAGUCUCUGGCAUCUCGGGGAAUCCUCGUAUCUCCAAAAUCAUCACUUUUCAGGGGAUAUUUGUUCAACCUAGCAUAACAUAGCAUCGUCAACGAGAGCCAGACAUUUUCAUCAAGUUCGACUGGUCGGUAACUUGCUACCUAAACAACUGAACAAACAAACCAAUAAAUAAAUAAAUAAAUGAUAGAGCGAUAAAUAAAUAGAUAAAUAAAUAAAUAAAUAAAUAAAUAAAUAAAUAAAUAAAUAAAUAAAUAAAUAAAUAAAUAAAUAAAUAAAUAAAUAAAUAAAUAAAUAAAUAAAUAAAUAAAUAAAUAAAUAAAUAAAUAAACAAAUGGCAUUUGCUCCCUAUGGUCAGAGAAUGCAUUCUUAACCAACAUUCCAAACAUUCAAAAAGAGUGAGGUGACAAUGUUCUGGCAGUAACUCAGUCUGACUUUAAAAUCACUGGGUUAAAGGUUCCGAUCCUGCUUUUUGAAGAAGAAACACAGACAUCUGAGAGGUUGUAGAGAAAUGCUCGUCAGGUCAAGGUCACAGACCUUCACCACCGAACCCUAACUCAUAAUUCCCCUUUGAAUACAAGAUUUUACGUUUUAGCAAUGCUAUUCGUUUCCACAAUUUGUGUUUAAACGCUUUAAUGGACAUGCUCCUCUACCUUUCUGCACAUCAGAAGAGGCUACAGAGCUGCAGCAGAUUCACCAGGGCAGCAUUAAAUGUGUUUUAUUUUACAAAACAUCACUUGAAUAGACUGCUUAAACAACUGCUUCUUCUUCUGCAUGCCGACUGUAGUAGUAGUAGUAGUAGUAAUCUGGAAACCUUCAUAAACCACAAACCCCAACCAGAGACGUCAUACGGGACUGGUUAACCAAACAAUCAAGAUAUCAACGUGCACGCGUGUGCACCGGUGCGACUGCCAAACCAAUUUGGAAGCAUCUUUCUGAUCCCCUUAAAAAGAGUCUGAUCCCUGCAUCGUGCUUAGGUCUCCUGGUUUGGCUGCCCGCGGUGCCGGAUAAACACACGCACCCGCACUCUUACAGAGUCAGCUUUUGAGAGUCCAAAAUCGUUAAGGCCUACCAUUAUAUUCCAUGGAAACAUUGUCUCUCAUCAUGCAGUCUAUAAAUAUAUUCUUCGGUGAUGCCAUGGAGACUCACGUAGGGUCAAAUGUAGAACAAACGUGCCUUGUGACAGCAUUACAUCUUGAGCUUUCCUUCAAGUGCAAACCGCACAAUACAUCAUUGUUUACAACCAGUCCGCUUACUUCUUUUUUUUUCCUGAAACGUGUUUCUAGGCGUUCCUUCCCCUUUUUGAUGGUGGCCAGCCAAGAUUUUCUGUUGGGCCUCAAGGACAUCAAGUGUGUAGUAAGCGUGUGUGCAUGGCGCACACAUGUCGGAUUGCACGUGCGUGUACGCGUAGUGCAGCGUCCCCGCCCUCCGUUCCUUGAUUAUCCCACAUGUCAUUGCACGAGACAGGAAACCGAGGGCGCGCGCCAGCGGGGGCGUGUUCCCCGAGGAAGCAGGACUUUGCAAUGGAAGCACGCCUUUCAUCACAACGAGAGAGCCUAUUAAAUGUAAUAAUGGCAAUAAUAAUAACAGUCUGCUUCGAUGAUGGACGAGUGCGGCGAGUAAUCAACCUGAGCUGGCCCGCCUCCUGACUGGAUCAGGCAGUACAUGAAAUCACGUUACAUUACAUUCCUGACUUUUUUUUUUUUUUGAAUGAGAUCUAUGACUUCUCCUGAACUACAGUAGACAAGCACAAAUUUAUUUUAUUUGACAUCAUUAAUGUUUAAAUAUGACCCUCUGCCAAUUUCUUGAGAGCAAUACAAAGCAAAAUGUUUUUGGACAGCACCGCAAACAUUAAUCUUUUGUGAACGUUUUAUAAUGUUUAAGCAGAUGUUUUUAUAAUGUUGGCAGGUGUCUGUUACAUCCCCUCAACAUUUGGAAGAUUUUCAAAACAAAUCAAGAGAAGGCAUUUCUGACCUUCGUCGCUUAAAAUCGUACAUAUGAUAGUAGAAAAGCAAUAUACUUCUCUUCAACUUAAAAACUUUAGACUCCUGAAAAGCCUGCCCAGUUUUGUUGUCUUUCAUGAUGGUGACAAAAGAGCCAAGGUUCGAACAACUGAGUCUUCAGUCACUGGGCAACAUGCUCGCUCCACCAACAGAGGUGACCUAGGUAGCCCUGAUCUAACCUAUCUAAAAUGGUUCUUUUAUACUAUUUAUACCUUAUUUAUUCUAUACUAGCCUCACCCGUCUAUGUGGCUGACCACAUAGAUGGGUGAGGAAUGGGGGGGGGGGGGUGACUUUGACUAGCCCACAUGACAAUGUGCACAAAGACUUAAUUGGAUUCAACAAGUAUGUGUGCCAAGGUUGUCUAUAGAUAGAGAAAGCCGAGUAGAAUCAAAACAAGGACACAGCAAUAUAUCGGCCUAGCUCACGUCACCACUCUAAUUAUAUGUGCCAAUGAGGCAGAGUCUAACAUUCCUCGGAAAAAGUAAAGGUAAAGAAUAUUUGGCUUUCGGAUUAAAUUUCAAAAUGAUCCUAAAAUAACGGUAAUUUAAUUUGACCUUCUCAAAGUUUUGAAUGCACUGUUUAAUUUCCCAACACUUUUUAUUCAACUAGCUGUUCUGUUAACUAGUAAAUGAACGGUAAAAAUCGAAAUGGGUGUUUGAUUCAUGGAUAUCAACAGCUUUAGAACAAAGUUCAAAAUAUGAACCGGAAUUCCGAACAAAAUAAAUCUAAAAGGAUACCCACGGGAUACUUACCAGACCUAAAUCAUCCGCUCUGUUCGUUUCAUUUCACAACAAUGGCUAAGCCAGUAAAAUGUCAUGUUUCCAGUAAACUAAUCCAUGUCAUCAAAGUAUUGUGUUAACAUUUCAGAUGGAAAUGGAAACAAAUCUAUAUUUUCAUUGCAAACCUAGCCACCAGAUUUUAUGAUUCUGGGAAAACCCAUUACAGUCAAUCCACAUUAGAUCCGCUGUCUGAGAUUGUCAGUAUUUGGUUUAUUUAAACAACAUACGGACAAUCAGUUUGCUUUGAGACUUUGCUUUACUUCAGGAAGAAAGUUAUGUAGUCCAAAGUGAAAGUAUGUGUUUGAAGGAUAGUUUUGGCAGCCUUUGGAGAUGCAUGUCAAAACAGCCAUAUUGUUUAGCUACUCAACAGUUUGCACUCUGGUUAACAAGCAAAUUUUCUGUUAAAAGCCCGAAUCGUCAUAAGCAAACAUACUUUGAGAAUCGCCACGCUAAACUUCCCUUUUGCAUCUUGCCUUUACUUGUCUUGACGCCGUCUUCUCUUCUUUCCACACGGUUCUUUUUCUAUCCUCUCGACUAUUACCUGAUUCCAGAAAGAGGCCCUCCGAGCUCGCUGUGUGGAAUUCUGUCUGGUUUGUAUCAACAUGCAGAACAAUCGACCUAUACGAUGCUCCCUCUCAAGCGCUGGAUCCAGUCGUAAGUAUGCCUCCAACUCAGAUAGUUUUGAUUACCGCGUGUUGCGGUUCACUCAUCACUGUCUUUCGCUGUUAUGUUUACGCAACUCCUUUUAAUUCUCAGUUGGACGGAUUGGGAAUAAAAACAAAUCCGGAGUUCAUGUAAAAGUUUAGAUGCUUCCUGAUUAUUUCUUGUCACGGCCUGAGUUAAAAGCCUACUUUACUGAGUCCACAUACCGCACGAGGGACUGAAUUUGGCGUCUGGUUCUGUGUUGUUAUUGUCAGGGUUGUCAUACUUGAGGAAUAACAUUUGCUUUGGAUUCACGUGGUCAUCUAAUAAUUUUUAAAAGUUGCAGCAAUUGCUUUGACAUCACCUCUGCUUGUUUUACACUCCCUCUUCUAUUCCCUGUUUGUCAUGGCUGUAGUCAGCGAGGUCUCAGAGGGUAUUUUUUUUCCAUUAUGCCUCUAAACAAACAUUUUUUUUCCUUUCGUCUUAAACCUAUUCAUGGCUUGCCACAGUGAAUCAUCAUAAUUCAUCUCUCGCUGUCUUCGGCAUCUUCUGCUCUAACUCCAGCUGUCCGCAAGUCUUCCCUCAUCACAUCUCCUUUUUGUCUCCGACCUGACGACUCAGAACAUCCUACUUGAAAUAUAUUCUCUGUGCCUCCUUUGCAAGCCCAAACGAUCUCAAUACGGCCUCUCUAACUUUCUCCAACCCUUCCCGCCUCUGUUGAGCUCAUUCCAGAUCAUGUCCUUCCUCAUCAUUUUGCAAAAGAAUCUCUGCAUCUUCAACGCUGCCACUUUCUGUCUGUCCUGAUCGUUUCAUCUUAGUGCAAUGCCGGCCCGUGUACCCACUGAAGCGUCUGGACAUCUUCUGAGUGUGUUCUGCAGCCCUUGUAUAUGACGCAGAGAAUGGAGGACAAUCGGUCCUCGCUCUGCUUUUGUCAUCAUUCUUUUCCAUCCUUUGAUUACUUUUCAGCACAUCAUCAGUGUCAUCGGCCAACACGCGCCCGCCACGCAAGCACAAAUCUGUCACGGAGACACCCCGGAAAAAAAACUUGACAAGGUCUCGUAAAAGUGCGCCGUUUCACGCCAGUUUCCGUAAGAUGGAACAGACACGGUGAAGAAAACCUCCAGGAUUUUCAUCCCCUCUCUUCCAGUCACCCAACUCCCUGAAGAAAUAAAAACUCAUCAGUGAAUGGAAAACCAAUCACCAAAGAUCCCUCCCAGUAUGACACUGCCAUGUUCGGACAUGAAGCUCGUGACUUUGGAAAGGUCUGCUUGCGGGCCAAGAGCGAGAAGGUCUUUUCGCAGCUCAGCUUUUAAGCCUGCACUUUUUCCCUAGCUUGAACCGCUUGUGAUGCGGAGGACAAGAAAAAAAAAAAAGAAGAUAAUUGAGAUUAUUUUUCCACUCACGGAUGCCUUGAACGUCAUUACUUCUUGAGGUGCUGUGUUCCCGGUCGAUCCACUGAAAGCGCCGCAGUCGUUCCAAGUCAAAUUUCAAUUUGAUAACCUCUGCGCUGACUGUUUGAUUUGAUGGAUUCGCUCCAAUCUUUUUUCAGCAUAGUUGUGGUAUGUCAAAUGACAAAUUUCAGCAUUCAGUAGCAAGUGGAAAAUAUGACUGCAUUGAUUCUUAAACCAAACAGUGGGUGGUGUGCGUGCAUGUGGUGCUGAGAUUCCUGCCAAAUGUUCCCAUCAUCGUUUUAAUCGUUUGCUUUCAAAGCCCUGGAGGCAAAAUGAUGACUUCUUUCUCACCUAUUAUAUGGAUUAUAAUAAUCCCUCGUAGUUAGUCACAAAAUCACCUACCCCAGCUAUUCUCCGAAAAUCAGUGAAGUGUACAAAGCGUCAAUAAGUUGAGGGAACUCAAUAAUAUCUCCACUAGUUGCAGUCAAGUUUUGCUUGUGUAUUGAAAAUACAUUUCACCUGAGUUAUUAUUAUGCCCAUCCAUAUUUCAAAAGCACUUUUGGGGUUUCUGACAUGAAAUUUGACAUGAGCAAGCUUGGUCACAGAAGAACUCAGAAGUCAUGGUAGAACUCCUGCUCUGUGUAUCCACAGCAGCCCUCGAGGUUCAUCUGCAGUAAUGAUUGGGUUCCUUUAUAUUUGCAUUACGAUAUGAUGACAUGUUUUCUGGUUGUUUCCAAGUUUUUGCUGAAGGACCUCGACACAUGAUGGAACAUUAAGGCGGUACCUGGACUCUCUCUCCUCACCAGUGACGUCAACACUGAUGACUUGAACACUUGUUGCGGUUGCUGCUCAACGACUCAAACAUCAGCAAGCACAAUUUAAGACUUCAGGGCUAGCGUGGGCUUAUAUAUCUUCCCUGUGAAAGAUGAAUAGCCACAUUACAAGGAGGAGGAUCACAACUGACAGCAAAUGGAUACAAGGCAAAUCCGCUGGCAUGAAACUGGAGUCUGCAUGGCAGUGAUGUAGCUGCUCCAAAAAAAAAUGACUUUUUACACGUUACUGCUAUGUGGUUUACUUGUUAGGACGAUGCGUGUGCAUUCACAAAUCUGAUGCUUACACAAUGUUAAGUUACCGUAAUUUUCAGACUAUAAGUCGCGGCUUUUUUCAUAGUUUGGGUGGGGGGGGGGCGACUUAUACUCAGGAGCGACUUAUAUACGUAUAUAUGGUUUUUAUUUUUUUGGGCAUUUUAUGGCUGGUGCGACUUAUACUCCGGUGCGAUUUAUAGUCCGAAAAUUACGGUACUCAUUUGCAGAAAGUAUGUGUAUGUAGACACAUAGGCAGUGUGGAAUGGGAGUGUGAAUGGUUGUCUUUCGCCAAUAAACUCAUAGAAGACAAGCUCUGUCCUCUAUUAGUUGUUGAAAUGUUUAUCCUUAAAAAUAAUGCCAAAAGUAGCUAACAAGUAUAAUUGCAGAGGUACAAUAAAAUCUUGAUAACGCAAUUACCGCAUACAGUGAGUGAUAUUUCUGCACUUAGUGGGGAAGUGCUGCAAAGUCUGCAAUUCGGGUGCUACAAUUUAGCGCACAAACAUGCUAAUUCCACAAAGAAAGGCAGGAACCUGGAUUUGAACCUCUGAACUGUGCUAACCACUCCAUCUCUGUGCUGCUGUGGUGGGAAAUAUUGU